CAGUCGCCGCGGUAAUACGGAGGGGGCUAGCGUUGUUCGGAAUUACUGGGCGUAAAGCGCGCGUAGGCGGCUUGGUAAGUUAGAGGUGAAAGCCUGGAGCUCAACUCCAGAAUUGCCUUUAAGACUGCCGAGCUAGCAGGUGAGAGAGGUAAGUGGAAUUCCGAGUGUAGAGGUGAAAUUCGUAGAUAUUCGGAAGAACACCAGUGGCGAAGGCGGCUUACUGGCUCAUACUGGACGCUGAGGUGCGAAAGCGUGGGGAGCAAACAGGAUUAGAUACCCCUGUAGUCCCUGUCUCUUAUAC
Molecule: ribosomal RNA, 301 nt
Filed under: uncultured bacterium
Lineage: Bacteria
Description: partial 16S ribosomal RNA
Rfam family: Bacterial small subunit ribosomal RNA
Source: RNAcentral